Molecule: ribosomal RNA, 253 nt
Filed under: uncultured prokaryote
Description: partial 16S ribosomal RNA
Rfam family: Bacterial small subunit ribosomal RNA
Source: RNAcentral
ACGUAGGUGGCAAGCGUUGUCCGGAUUUACUGGGCGUAAAGAGCGCGCAGGCGGUCGUUCAAGUCGCGUGUGAAAGCCCCCGGCUCAACUGGGGAGGGUCACGCGAUACUGAUCGACUGGAAGGCAGGAGAGGGUAGUGGAAUUCCCGGUGUAGUGGUGAAAUGCGUAGAUAUCGGGAGGAACACCAGUGGCGAAAGCGGGCUCCUGGACCUCGCCUGACGCUGAGACGCGAAAGCCAGGGGAGCGAACGGGA